RNAcentral lists this ribosomal RNA (500 nucleotides) under uncultured bacterium. RNAcentral's name for it is "partial 16S ribosomal RNA". It matches the Rfam family "Bacterial small subunit ribosomal RNA", at positions 30 to 523 of the family's 1533-position model. The record is from RNAcentral.
AUUGAACGCUGGCGGAAUGCUUUACACAUGCAGGUCGAACGGCAGCACGGACUUCGGUCUGGUGGCGAGUGGCGAACGGGUGAGUAAUAUAUCGGAACGUGCCCAGUCGUGGGGGAUAACGUAGUGAAAAUUACGCUAAUACCGCAUACGAUCUAUGGAUGAAAGCGGGGGAUCGCAAGACCUCGCGCGAUUGGAGCGGCCGAUGUCAGAUUAGGUAGUUGGUGGGGUAAAGGCCCACCAAGCCAACGAUCUGUAGCUGGUCUGAGAGGACGACCAGCCACACUGGAACUGAGACACGGUCCAGACUCCUACGGGAGGCAGCAGUGGGGAAUUUUGGACAAUGGGCGAAAGCCUGAUCCAGCCAUUCCGCGUGCAGGAUGAAGGCCCUCGGGUUGUAAACUGCUUUUGUACAGAACGAAAAGGUUUCUACUAAUACUAGGAGCUCAUGACGGUACUGUAAGAAUAAGCACCGGCUAACUACGUGCCAGCCGCCGCCGUAA